UUUUUAUAUAAACUCUUUCAGGCGACUAGAUCAAUCCCUGAUCUUUAUUGGUACACCAUAUCUACCCAGCCCAACAAUCAAGAAGGAGUCCCACUUCUUUCAGAAUGUUUUUAAUAAUUGAAGAUUGUCAUCCUUACGAUCCCAAGAGAUCUCAACUGUAAAAUCCAACUUUUAACACCCUGUUUUAUAUUGUAUUGUUGGGUGGUCGACUUUG
This 214-nucleotide long non-coding RNA is filed under the name Lathyrus oleraceus (garden pea). RNAcentral describes it as "Pisum sativum (pea) long non-coding RNA (PSAT_LNC032054)". The record is from RNAcentral. Lineage: Eukaryota; Viridiplantae; Streptophyta; Magnoliopsida; Fabales; Fabaceae.